This is a non-coding RNA of Oncorhynchus kisutch (coho salmon), 618 nucleotides long. The record is from the annotation of a RefSeq genome assembly. Lineage: Eukaryota; Metazoa; Chordata; Actinopteri; Salmoniformes; Salmonidae.
AUGGAACCCUGGCUGAGGAAUGUACUGAUUCUUACUGCAUUUUGUUAUGAAUGCAGAGGAGAAGACUCAGUCAUUCAGCCACCAGGAGAUGUGAUCGCUACUGAGGGAGAACAGGUCACAAUGGAUUGUCAAUUUGAUACUCUAGAUACAAAUCCAUACAUGUUCUGGUACAAGCAGAGAGCUAAUGACUUCCCAAAGUAUAUGCUGAAACGGGCUACUUUUGGAUCAGAUGAUGCCAUUGAAUUCCAGAGUAGAUUCGAUGCCCAUCUCAAUUUAACUACAUUAAAGUCAGCAUCAAAAUCAGUCCCCUUGACGAUCCAGAGGUUGCAGCUGUCUGACUCUGCUGUGUACUACUGUGCUCUGAGGCCCACUGUGAGAACAGGAUAUACAGCCCCCCUACAAAAACGAGUGUAUUCUUGGCACCAGUGUAGAAAAAAUGCAAGCCUUACUUCUGUGGUGGGUGUGAUGUUAGCAGGGAUGUACACCUCACACAGUGACACACAGAAGAACAUUUCAGAGGAGAGAAUGGUAUGUGGAGACAGUGUGACUCCUGACAAGGAGGAGUACACCCCGACUGAGGGAUCAUCAGUGUCUCUGAGAUGUGGCUCCUCCUCCUGA